This 402-nucleotide ribosomal RNA is filed under the name uncultured bacterium. Its description in RNAcentral is "bacterial SSU rRNA". It matches the Rfam family "Bacterial small subunit ribosomal RNA", at positions 355 to 774 of the family's 1533-position model. The record is from RNAcentral.
UGGGGAAUAUUGCACAAUGGGCGAAAGCCUGAUGCAGCAACGCCGCGUGAGUGAUGAAGGCCUUCGGGUUGUAAAGCUCUGUCUUCUGGGACGAUAAUGACGGUACCAGAGGAGGAAGCCACGGCUAACUACGUGCCAGCAGCCGCGGUAAUACGUAGGGGGCAAGCGUUGUCCGGAUUUACUGGGUGUAAAGGGUGCUCAGGCGGAUUUGUAAGUCAGAGGUGAAAUCUUACAGCUUAACUGUGAAACUGCCUUUGAUACUGCAAGGCUAUAGUAUGGAAGAGAGUGAUGGAAUAUCUGGUGUAGCAGUGAAAUGCGUAUAUAUCAGAUAGCACACCAAUGGCGAAGGCAGUCACUUGGUCCAUUACUGACGCUAAAGCACGAAAGCGUGGGUAGCAAACA